UUUUCUCCAUGCUUGAUGCCAUAGCAUCUACGCCAUUUGCCAAAGCAAGUUCCAUGUCUGCUGCUUCUGAAGAACCAUCAUCACUUUCUUCAGACAGUAACCUUAGAAACGCCCCAACAUGAUGCUUAGGUGGUGUAGAGGCAGCAGUUUCCUCUAGUCCAGACCAUGCCUUGUCAUCAAUCUCUAAAAAUUUGAAGAUAGGUCUUAGAAGAGCAGAUGAUUCAUGAACCCAAAGUUGAGGAUCAUCGGAAACGGAAUCCGCACUACUGCAACUGCUACUCCGUUCCUCCGGCGGUGUAUCCGGAAAUCCCAACGGACAAGUUUGAUGGAUCUGAGCCUGAUGAAGAGCAAGUCCAAACAAAGCUCCGGCUGCAUACCGGUGCGUCGGCGUCAACAUCAAAG
Molecule: unclassified non-coding RNA, 402 nt
Filed under: Hevea brasiliensis (rubber tree)
Lineage: Eukaryota; Viridiplantae; Streptophyta; Magnoliopsida; Malpighiales; Euphorbiaceae
Source: RNAcentral